AGUGAACGCUGGCGGUAGGCCUAACACAUGCAAGUCGAACGGCAGCACAGUAAGAGCUUGCUCUUACGGGUGGCGAGUGGCGGACGGGUGAGGAAUACAUCGGAAUCUACUUUUUCGUGGGGGAUAACGUAGGGAAACUUACGCUAAUACCGCAUACGACCUACGGGUGAAAGCAGGGGAUCUUCGGACCUUGCGCGAUUGAAUGAGCCGAUGUCGGAUUAGCUAGUUGGCGGGGUAAGGGCCCACCAAGGCGACGAUCCGUAGCUGGUCUGAGAGGAUGACCGGCCACAGGGGGAAUGACAGACGGCCCAGACUACUGUGGGAGGCAGCAGGGGGGAAUAUUGAACAACGGUCGGAAGACAGAGACAGCAACGCCGCGCGCGCGAGGAUGUCCUGCGGGAUGUAAAACGAUGUCCCCUGGGAAGAAGCGUGAGUGACGGUAAGGGGUAAAGAAGCAACGGCGAACUACGUG
RNAcentral lists this ribosomal RNA (472 nucleotides) under uncultured bacterium. RNAcentral's name for it is "partial 16S ribosomal RNA". It matches the Rfam family "Bacterial small subunit ribosomal RNA", at positions 30 to 507 of the family's 1533-position model. The record is from RNAcentral.